Molecule: ribosomal RNA, 543 nt
Filed under: uncultured Burkholderiales bacterium
Lineage: Bacteria; Pseudomonadati; Pseudomonadota; Betaproteobacteria; Burkholderiales
Description: bacterial SSU rRNA
Rfam family: Bacterial small subunit ribosomal RNA
Source: RNAcentral
GUCGAACGGCAGCGCGGGGCAACCUGGCGGCGAGUGGCGAACGGGUGAGUAAUAUAUCGGAACGUACCCUGGAGUGGGGGAUAACGUAGCGAAAGUUACGCUAAUACCGCAUACGAUCUAAGGAUGAAAGUGGGGGAUUCGCAAGAACCUCAUGCUCCUGGAGCGGCCGAUAUCUGAUCAGCUAGUUGGUAGGGUAAAAGCCUACCAAGGCAUCGAUCAGUAGCUGGUCUGAGAGGACGACCAGCCACACUGGAACUGAGACACGGUCCAGACUCCUACGGGAGGCAGCAGUGGGGAAUUUUGGACAAUGGGCGCAAGCCUGAUCCAGCAAUGCCGCGUGAGUGAAGAAGGCCUUCGGGUUGUAAAGCUCUUUUGUCAGGGAAGAAACGGGUCUUUCUAAUACAGAGAUCUAAUGACGGUACCUGAAGAAUAAGCACCGGCUAACUACGUGCCAGCAGCCGCGGUAAUACGUAGGGUGCAAGCGUUAAUCGGAAUUACUGGGCGUAAAGCGUGCGCAGGCGGUUUUGUAAGACUGUCGUGAAA